AUUGAACGCUGGCGGCAGGCCUAACACAUGCAAGUCGAGCGGAUGAAGGGAGCUUGCUCCUGGAUUCAGCGGCGGACGGGUGAGUAAUGCCUAGGAAUCUGCCUGGUAGUGGGGGAUAACGUCCGGAAACGGGCGCUAAUACCGCAUACGUCCUGAGGGAGAAAGUGGGGGAGCUUCGGACCUCACGCUAUCAGAUGAGCCUAGGUCGGAUUAGAUAGUUGGUGGGGUAAAGGCCUACCAAGGCGACGAUCCGUAACUGGUCUGAGAGGAUGAUCAGUCACACUGGAACUGAGCCACGGUCCAGACUCCUACGGGAGGCAGCAGUCGGGAAUAUUGGACAAUGGGCGAAAGCCUGAUCCAGCCAUGCCGCGUGUGUGACGAAGGUCUUCGGAUUGUAAAGCACUUUAAGUUGGGAGGAAGGGCAGUAAGUUAAUACCUUGCUGUUUUGACGUUACCAACAGAAUAAGCACCGGCUAACUUCGUG
This 484-nucleotide ribosomal RNA is filed under the name uncultured bacterium. Its description in RNAcentral is "partial 16S ribosomal RNA". It matches the Rfam family "Bacterial small subunit ribosomal RNA", at positions 30 to 507 of the family's 1533-position model. The record is from RNAcentral.